UUCCGGUUGAUCCUGCCGGACCUGACUGCUAUCGGAUUGAUACUAAGCCAUGCGAGUCUUUGUAGUAAUACAAGGCAGACGGCUCAGUAACACGUAGUCAACCUACCCUAUGGACGAGAAUAAUCUCGGGAAACUGAGCAUAAUUCUUGAUAGAUCAUAAUGCCUGGAAUGGUUUAUGGUUAAAAUGAUUCGUCGCCAUAGGAUGGGACUGCGGCCUAUCAGCUUGUUGGUGAGGUAAUGGCCCACCAAGGCGAUUACAGGUACGGGCUCUGAGAGGAGAAGCCCGGAGAUGGGUACUGAGACAAGGACCCAGGCCCUAUGGGGCGCAGCAGGCGAGAAAACUUUGCAAUGUGCGAAAGCACGACAAGGUUAAUCCGAGUGAUUUCUGCUAAAGAAAUCUUUUGCCAGUCAUAAAACCACUGGUGAAUAAGGGGUGGGCAAGUUCUGGUGUCAGCCGCCGCGGUAAAACCAGCACCUCAAGUUGUCAGGAUGAUUAUUGGGCCUAAAGCAUCCGUAGCCGGCUUUGUUAGUUUUCGGUUAAAUCCAUGUGCUCAACGCAUGGGCUGCCGAAAAUACUGCAGGGCUAGGGAGUGGGAGAGGUAGACGGUACUCAGUAGGAAGGGGUAAAAUCCUUUGAUCUAUUGAUGACCACCUGUGGCGAAGGCGGUCUACCAGAACACGUUCGACGGUGAGGGAUGAAAGCUGGGGGAGCAAACCGGAUUAGAUACCCGGGUAGUCCUAGGUGUAAACGCUGUGGACUUGAUGUUGGGGGCGCUCCGAGCGCUCUCAGUGUCGAAGCGAAGGUGAUAAGUCCACUGCCUGGGGAGUACGGUCGCAAGGCUGAAACUUAAAGGAAUUGGCGGGGGAGCACCACAAGGGGUGAAGCCUGCGGUUCAAUUGGAUUCAACGCCGG
RNAcentral lists this ribosomal RNA (913 nucleotides) under uncultured marine archaeon. RNAcentral describes it as "bacterial SSU rRNA". It matches the Rfam family "Archaeal small subunit ribosomal RNA", at positions 1 to 921 of the family's 1478-position model. The record is from RNAcentral.